Molecule: ribosomal RNA, 253 nt
Filed under: uncultured bacterium
Lineage: Bacteria
Description: partial 16S ribosomal RNA
Rfam family: Bacterial small subunit ribosomal RNA
Source: RNAcentral
UACGUAGGGUGCAAGCGUUAAUCGGAAUUACUGGGCGUAAAGCGUGCGCAGGCGGUUUUGUAAGUCUGUCGUGAAAGCCCCGGGCUCAACCUGGGAAUUGCGAUGGAGACUGCAAGGCUUGAAUCUGGCAGAGGGGGGUAGAAUUCCACGUGUAGCAGUGAAAUGCGUAGAGAUGUGGAGGAACACCGAUGGCGAAGGCAUCCCCCUGGGUCAAGAUUGACGCUCAUGCAAGAAAGAGUGGGGAGCAAACAGG